Molecule: transfer RNA, 72 nt
Filed under: Bos taurus (domestic cattle)
Lineage: Eukaryota; Metazoa; Chordata; Mammalia; Artiodactyla; Bovidae
Also listed under: 1 other name
Rfam family: tRNA
About the family: Transfer RNA (tRNA) molecules are approximately 80 nucleotides in length. Their secondary structure includes four short double-helical elements and three loops (D, anti-codon, and T loops).
Source: Rfam by way of RNAcentral
UCCUUGCUAGGUCAGACAGUAAAGUGUCUGCCUGAAAUGCGGAAGACCCGGGUUCGAUCCCUGGGUUGGGAA